AUUGAACGCUGGCGGCAGGCCUAACACAUGCAAGUCGAACGGUAACAGGAAGAAGCUUGCUUCUUUGCUGACGAGUGGCGGACGGGUGAGUAAUGUCUGGGAAACUGCCUGAUGGAGGGGGAUAACUACUGGAAACGGUAGCGAAUACCGCAUAACGUCGCAAGACCAAAGAGGGGGAGCUUCGGGCCUCUUGCCAUCGGAUGUGCCCAGAUGGGAUUAGCUAGUAGGUGGGGUAACGGCUCACCUAGGCGACGAUCCCUAGCUGGUCUGAGAGGAUGACCAGCCACACUGGAACUGAGACACGGUCCAGACUCCUACGGGAGGCAGCAGUGGGGAAUAUUGCACAAUGGGCGCAAGCCUGAUGCAGCCAUGCCGCGUGUAUGAAGAAGGCCUUCGGGUUGUAAAGUACUUUCAGCGGGGAGGAAGGGAGUAAAGUUAAUACCUUUGCUCAUUGACGUUACCCGCAGAAGAAGCACCGGCUAACUCCGUG
RNAcentral lists this ribosomal RNA (490 nucleotides) under uncultured bacterium. Its description in RNAcentral is "partial 16S ribosomal RNA". It matches the Rfam family "Bacterial small subunit ribosomal RNA", at positions 30 to 507 of the family's 1533-position model. The record is from RNAcentral.